AGCGAACGCUGGCGGCAGGCUUAACACAUGCAAGUCGAGCGGGCACUUCGGUGUCAGCGGCAGACGGGUGAGUAACACGUGGGAACGUGCCCUUCGGUUCGGAAUAACUCAGGGAAACUUGAGCUAAUACCGGAUACGCCCUUUGGGGGAAAGGUUUACUGCCGAAGGAUCGGCCCGCGUCUGAUUAGCUAGUUGGUGGGGUAAUGGCCUACCAAGGCGACGAUCAGUAGCUGGUCUGAGAGGAUGAUCAGCCACACUGGGACUGAGACACGGCCCAGACUCCUACGGGAGGCAGCAGUGGGGAAUAUUGGACAAUGGGCGCAAGCCUGAUCCAGCCAUGCCGCGUGAAGGAUGAAAUCCCUCGGGAUGUAAACUUCGCAAGAACGGGAAGAAUAAGUAGAAGAUAAUACCUUCUAU
RNAcentral lists this ribosomal RNA (417 nucleotides) under uncultured bacterium. Its description in RNAcentral is "bacterial SSU rRNA". It matches the Rfam family "Bacterial small subunit ribosomal RNA", at positions 29 to 470 of the family's 1533-position model. The record is from RNAcentral.